GCUUACGGCCACACCUCCCUGAGCACCGCCGAUCUCGUCUGAUCUCGGAAGCUAAGCAGGGUCGGGCCCGGUUAGUACUUGGAUGGAGUUACCGCCUGGGAAUACCAGUGCUGUAAGCC
Molecule: ribosomal RNA, 119 nt
Filed under: Esox lucius (northern pike)
Lineage: Eukaryota; Metazoa; Chordata; Actinopteri; Esociformes; Esocidae
Source: RNAcentral